CCUACGGGUGGCAGCAGUGGGGAAUAUUGCACAAUGGGGGAAACCCUGAUGCAGCGCCGCCGCGUGAGCGAAGAAGUAUUUCGGUAUGUAAAGCUCUAUCAGCAGGGAAGAAAAUGACGGUACCUUAGUAAGAAGCUCCGGCUAAAUAAGUGCCAGCAGCCGCGGUAAUACGUAUGGAGCAAGCGUUAUCAGGAUUUACUGGGUGUAAAGGGAGCGCAGGCGGCCUUGCAAGUCUGAUGUGAAAUACCGGGGCUCAACCCCGUAGCUGCAUUGGAAACUGUGAGGCUGGAGUGUCGGAGAGGCAGGCGGAAUUCCUAGUGUAGCGGUGAAAUGCGUAGAUAUUAGGAGGAACACCAGUGGCGAAGGCGGCCUGCUGGACGAUGACUGACGCUGAGGCUCGAAAGCGUGGGGAGCAAACAGGAUUAGAUACCCGUGUAGUC
This 440-nucleotide ribosomal RNA is filed under the name uncultured bacterium. Its description in RNAcentral is "partial 16S ribosomal RNA". It matches the Rfam family "Bacterial small subunit ribosomal RNA", at positions 338 to 795 of the family's 1533-position model. The record is from RNAcentral.